This 501-nucleotide ribosomal RNA is filed under the name uncultured bacterium. Its description in RNAcentral is "partial 16S ribosomal RNA". It matches the Rfam family "Bacterial small subunit ribosomal RNA", at positions 899 to 1397 of the family's 1533-position model. The record is from RNAcentral.
ACUCAAAUGAAUAGACGGGGGCCCGCACAAGCGGUGGAGCAUGUGGUUCAAUUCGACGCAACGCGAAGAACCUUACCAGCCCUUGACAUGUGACUCGCCGGCUCCAGAGAUGGAGCCUUCGGUUCGGCCGGAGUCAGCACAGGUGCUGCAUGGCUGUCGUCAGCUCGUGUCGUGAGAUGUUGGGUUAAGUCCCGCAACGAGCGCAACCCUCGUCUCCAGUUGCCAUCAGGUUAUGCUGGGCACUUUGGAGAAACUGCCGGUGACAAGCCGGAGGAAGGUGGGGAUGACGUCAAGUCCUCAUGGCCCUUACGGGCUGGGCUACACACGUGCUACAAUGGCGGUGACAAUGGGAUGCAAUGGCGCGAGCCGGAGCCGAUCCUAAAAAACCGUCUCAGUUCGGAUUGCACUCUGCAACUCGAGUGCAUGAAGUUGGAAUCGCUAGUAAUCGAGGAUCAGCAUGCCUCGGUGAAUACGUUCCCGGGCCUUGCACACACCGCCCGU